RNAcentral lists this long non-coding RNA (781 nucleotides) under Heterocephalus glaber (naked mole-rat). Its description in RNAcentral is "lncRNA (ENSHGLG00100046721.1)". The record is from RNAcentral. Lineage: Eukaryota; Metazoa; Chordata; Mammalia; Rodentia; Bathyergidae.
GUACUCCCCUGUGUCCCUCACUUAAUUCUCAGUGUCCCUGGGAGCCAGGGGACACAGUCCUGCCAUUUUACAGAGGAGCAAACCAAAGUACACAGAAGGCCUUUGACUUCUCCAAGACUAGACAGGCACCAAAUGGCAGAAUUGCUCUAGAAGUCAUCUCCCCCAGAGUUUGCUUUUAAGUGCAUGUUUAUCCUUCUGUUUUAAAAGAGAUCUCUGCAAAUGGCUUUCUUGCCAAGAAGAGAAGAAGCCACAUUCCAGUGGAAAUCAGGCCUCUAAUCCAAGCAUAUUGCUUGCUAUUAAUUGCCAAAACAGGACUGCUAAUGAGGAAUGUAUUUGCAUAUGUGUGCAAAAGCUGAAUCAUUGAAAAUGUUCCUUGAAACUCUCUUUGGACAUUCCCAGCUAGAGAGCGAAGAGUGUGAAAAGUAGUCUGGUUUUUGAAACUUAGGUAUUUCAUAUUUUUCCCCUCAAGAACUUUUUUAAAGAAAUGGAUUUGCCAUCCUCCUUAAUUUUCAGGACUGCCUUGGUGGCUUUGUUUGCUGAGACAAGGCCCACAACCUGUGCCUCGCCUGUUAACCCUUACUUUGAAUUCAAAGAAUCUAUUUAAGAAUCUAAUAUAUGAGACUUUCUUUGAUUUCUCCUCAUUCUACUCAGCUUAACAGAGAUAAAGAAAUUAUUUGAAUAAACUGAACAGAGGCUCAUUUGUCUGUACCUUUCUUUCAUGAGUUGGGUUGUUUUUGUUUUAUUUUGGAAUUUUUCAUGUGGAUUGGUGACAAGUAGAAGC